RNAcentral lists this ribosomal RNA (590 nucleotides) under uncultured Sphingomonas sp. Its description in RNAcentral is "bacterial SSU rRNA". It matches the Rfam family "Bacterial small subunit ribosomal RNA", at positions 318 to 916 of the family's 1533-position model. Lineage: Bacteria; Pseudomonadati; Pseudomonadota; Alphaproteobacteria; Sphingomonadales; Sphingomonadaceae. The record is from RNAcentral.
ACUGAGACCGGCCCAGACUCUUACGGGAGCAGCAGUAGGGAAUAUUGGACAAUGGGCGAAAGCCUGAUCCAGCAAUGCCGCGUGAGGUGAUGAAGGCCUUAGGGUUGUAAAGCUCUUGUUACCCGGGAUGAUAAUGACAGUACCGGGAGAAUGAAGCUCCGGCGUAACUCCGUGCCAGCAGCCGCGGUAAUACGGAGGGAGUCAGCGCUUGUUCGGAAUUACUGGGCGUAAAGCGCACGUAGGCGGCUAUUCAAGUCAGAGGUGAAAGCCCGGGGCUCAACCCCGGAACUGCCUUUGAAACUAGAUAGCUUGAAUCUCAGGAGAGGUGAGUGGAAUUCCGAGUGUAGAGGUGAAAUUCGUAGAUAUUCGGAAGAACAUCCAGUGGCGAAGGCGGCUCACUGGACUGGUAUUGACGCUGAGGUGCGAAAGCGUGGGGAGCAAACAGGAUUAGAUAUCCCUGGUAGUCCACGCCGUAUAACGUAUGAUAACUAGCUGUCAGGGCACAUGGUGUUUUGGUGGCGCAGCUAACGCAUUAAGUUAUCCGCCUGGGGUAGUACGGUCGCAAGAUUAAAACUCAAAGGAAUUGACGG